UACCAGACUCCUACGGGAGGCAGCAGUGGGGAAUAUUGCACAAUGGGGGAAACCCUGAUGCAGCGACGCCGCGUGAGUGAAGAAGUAAUUCGUUAUGUAAAGCUCUAUCAGCAGGGAAGAAAAUGACGGUACCUGAGUAAGAAGCACCGGCUAACUCCGUGCCAGCAGCCGCGGUAAUACGGAGGGUGCGAGCGUUAAUCGGAAUUACUGGGCGUAAAGCGCUCGUAGGCGGUAUGUCAAGUCAAGGGUGAAAUCCCCGCGCUCAACGUGGGAACUGCCUUUGAAACUGGCAAACUGGAGUGUGUGAGAGGAUAGUGGAAUUCCAGGUGUAGGAGUGAAAUCCGUAGAUAUCUGGAGGAACAUCAGUGGCGAAGGCGGCCUGCUGGACGAUGACUGACGUUGAGGCUCGAAAGCGUGGGGAGCAAACAGGAUUAGAUACCCUUGUA
This 446-nucleotide ribosomal RNA is filed under the name uncultured bacterium. Its description in RNAcentral is "bacterial SSU rRNA". It matches the Rfam family "Bacterial small subunit ribosomal RNA", at positions 329 to 792 of the family's 1533-position model. The record is from RNAcentral.